This 112-nucleotide ribosomal RNA is filed under the name Duganella sp. Leaf61. The record is from RNAcentral. Lineage: Bacteria; Pseudomonadati; Pseudomonadota; Betaproteobacteria; Burkholderiales; Oxalobacteraceae.
CCUGAUGACCAUAGCAAGUCGGUCCCACCCCUUCCCAUCCCGAACAGGACCGUGAAACGACUUUGCGCCGAUGAUAGUGCUGCAACCAGUGUGAAAGUAGGUCCCUUCCCAU